This 87-nucleotide unclassified non-coding RNA is filed under the name Pseudomonas poae. The record is from RNAcentral. Lineage: Bacteria; Pseudomonadati; Pseudomonadota; Gammaproteobacteria; Pseudomonadales; Pseudomonadaceae.
GUGGGAGGGGGCUUGCUCCCGAUUGCAAUGUUUCAGUCAGCUCACCGGUAACUGGCAGACCGCUAUCGGGAGCAAGCCCCCUCCCAC